UAAUUGAUCAUUUUAAAUAACAACCCAACUUGAAAUUAGAUCGAAAAAUAUUUUUGUUAGCUCAUAUUUCCUUUUCUUUUUAGACAUCUGAAUUUAUCCUAGUACUUACAGACCUUCAUCAAAGAAUUAGAAAAUCAAAAUCUCUUCGCAGUACUAAUAAUUGUGUAUAUUAAUAUUUCCAGCUAACUUAUUGUUCUUGGAAUCCCCUGUUGGUGUUGGAUUUUCAUACACAAAUACCUCUAGUGAUAUCACAGAGCUUGGAUACACUGUUACGGAUUUCAGAAAGAGGUUGAGGGCGGAUAUAACUUUGAGGAGGAAAAGGAAGAGGAGAAAGGGGCUGAAGUUAUUUAAAAAGUGGGUGCAAGUUAAAAGUUUUAAAAAAAUGGGUAUAGGUUAAAUGGGGCGACCAAAUAGGGCGCCCCAUUUAACCUACGUGCAAUUUUUACCGCUUUCCUCUUUUUUGUUUGAUCUCAAGUUUCUCUUUUCCUCUUUGACGAUUUCUCAAGUUCUUUGCUUUCAGUUUGUCGUCUGAUAUAUAGUAAAGAGAUCACCUGGUUGACCAUUGAUGGUGUAAGCAUCAGAUACAUAGGAGCUAAAAAUUUGCCAGCUGAACCUUCUGAGGAAGAAUUCAGGCUUGGUUUAAGGAGUGGAAUGAUCUUUUACAAUGUACUCAAUAAAAUUCAUUCUGGAGUUGUUCCCAAGGAAAGAGUGGAUGAGGAUUUAUUUCAGUGUUCAGAGAUCUUGGAUAUGCUGAGUUGAUUGUAACAAUUGUCCCAUUUUCUCUUUAUUUAUAUGUUUCUGUACCUCCUUGGUACUAUCUUAUAAGAAAUUCAAGCAAUAAUACUCUUGAUUGGGUAAGAUGCAAUAUUGUUAAUUCCUGAAUGCAGGGAGAGGUUUAAAUACUACACUACUGAGAGAGUGUUAUAUGCUCUUUGUUAUUCUUCAUGCAUCACUUUAGUA
Nicotiana tabacum (common tobacco) is the source of this 960-nucleotide long non-coding RNA. RefSeq lists it as uncharacterized. Lineage: Eukaryota; Viridiplantae; Streptophyta; Magnoliopsida; Solanales; Solanaceae. The record is from RefSeq and is a predicted model, not a curated record.